UGAACUGGGAAUGAAGAGUUGAGGACC
This 27-nucleotide non-coding RNA is filed under the name Rattus norvegicus (Norway rat). The record is from RNAcentral. Lineage: Eukaryota; Metazoa; Chordata; Mammalia; Rodentia; Muridae.